This 1779-nucleotide ribosomal RNA is filed under the name Triticum aestivum (bread wheat). Its description in RNAcentral is "partial small subunit ribosomal RNA". Lineage: Eukaryota; Viridiplantae; Streptophyta; Magnoliopsida; Poales; Poaceae. The record is from RNAcentral.
AUGCCACCUUUCGUGCACGACACGGAAGGCCUGCCGUUCAUGAAGCAUGGUUGUGUCUUCCGUGCGCACCGCCGGAUGAACGACAUGCUGAGACACGCUAUCCCUGAUUUAUGCCGCUUCAGCUUGGAUGAGUCUCCAUCGUGUGGAACCGGACUAGAAAGCCGCGACAAUGAUUCCCGUUGCCCACCGCUAUGGAUCGUGCCAUCCAUGAAGAACACCUGGGACUGGAACCUGGAGGAGGACAUUAGACGCAAAUGCGCUGGCCUGCAUGAUUCCAGGACCUGGAAUCAUACCAGCCGAUGGUACCAUAUAACUGGAAUUAACCCAUGCAAGUCGAAGAAGGAUUGGCCGGUGCUGCCGGCUGGCGUCAAGUUCGAUCCCACGGAUCAGGAGCUGAUCGAGCACCUUGAGGCCAAAGUCAGUGCUGACAGCGCGAGACCUCACCCUCUCAUCGAUUUGUUCAUACCAACCAUCGACAGCGAGCACGGCAUAUGCUACACCCAUCCUGAGAAACUUCCAGGUAUCACACUGAGUGGCCUAAGCAAUCAUUUCUUCCAGCGCAAUUCCAGGGCGUUCAAAAGGGGCACGUGGGCGCGUCGCAAGAUACAGUCGGAAUGCGGCAUGCACGCGAUGUGGCACAACACCAGCAAUACCUUGCCGGUGAUGGUCAACGGCCGGCAGACGGGCAGCAAAAAGGUUCUGGUGCUGCACACCAACAAGAACUUCAACCAGCAGAGGACCAACUGGGUGAUGCACCAGUACCACCUCGGGGACCUGGAGCAAGAGAAGGAGCAGGAGCUGGUCCUCUACAAGAUUUUCUACCAGACGAACACUAGGGCCAGGAGUAAAAAGAUUAUAAGCCCAGCCCAUGACGACAACGGGGCACAAAGAUCCAGCAGUUCAUAUACACGUAUCAUUAUAUUGAAAGACCGCGGCUCCUCCGAUCUUCCUGAGCUUGGGCUUCGUCGUGCCCUGGGGAUCAGUCGGGCGCACGGCAGCAGGCUCCGGGCGGCGGAGACAGACGACAAGGCGGGGGCGACGCCCCAAGAAAGCAAUGCCGCCUCACCCUUCUUCAGAGUCACUCGUCCCAGCCUCCGCAAAGGGGUGCUCCCGGACCUCAUAACGACCCUGGUGGAGCGCGGGGAUCCCUCGACCGAGUGCUCGGCGGCGGCGGCGUCAUCAGAGAGACCGUGGAAAAGCUCGGUCUACGAUGGGGGAGAGGUCUCCGCCACAUCGUCUAUGGUCGCCUCCGAGUCCUACUCUCCCUACCCCUCGGAUGGGCUCGUCUCGCGCUCCCGUUGGCUGGGUCAGCCGUGGCCGCGUGCAGGAGGUUUUGGCCAAUCCGCUCCGCGCUUCCAGAGCCAAUCCGCCUCGUCCCACUCCCGCAUCUCAGCCGUCAUACAAACCCUAGCCCCGUUUUUCCUCGAUCCCCAGUCCCCACACGCUCCUGCCUCCUCCAUCCCUCCUCCUCGCGUGACCACGGCCUCCGCCCUGCAGCCUCGCCGCCUCCUGCUAUUCCGCCUCCACCACGCUAGCCCCUCUACCUCGCCUUCCUUCUCUUCGUUGUCAAUGCGGCCUUCAUCGACCCCUGGUUCCAGAUCGGGCGCAGGGAAGAGGGAGGAGGUGGGCGACAGGGUGAAGGAGCAGGCCGGCCCUCCUGGAAGCACCGCUGCCGCUCAGCCAGGAAGGAGGCCAGGCUCGCCUCUGCUGUGCCAUGAGCGGCGGCGCCGCCUAUGCCUCCACCCCCACCUUCUUUUCCAUGCCUCUUCCUCCGCAUAG